This 221-nucleotide unclassified non-coding RNA is filed under the name uncultured Thelephoraceae. Its description in RNAcentral is "sequence contains ITS2". The record is from RNAcentral. Lineage: Eukaryota; Fungi; Basidiomycota; Agaricomycetes; Thelephorales; Thelephoraceae.
ACACCUCAACUCUUCAUGGUUUUCCAUGAUGAGCUUGGACUCUGGGGGUCUUGCUGGCCUGUGGUCGGCUCCUCUCAAAUGAAUCAGCUUGCCGGUUUUUGGUGGGCAUCACAGGUGUGAUAACUAUCUACGCUUGUGGUUUUCCACCAGGGUAACCUUCAGCAAUGGAGGUUCACUGGAGCUUACAAAUGUCCCUCCUCUGUGAGGACGGCCCUUUGAAU